Molecule: ribosomal RNA, 492 nt
Filed under: uncultured bacterium
Lineage: Bacteria
Description: partial 16S ribosomal RNA
Rfam family: Bacterial small subunit ribosomal RNA
Source: RNAcentral
AGUGAACGCUGGCGGUAGGCCUAACACAUGCAGGUCGAACGGCAGCACAGUAAGAGCUUGCUCUUACGGGUGGCGAGUGGCGGACGGGUGAGGAAUACAUCGGAAUCUACUUUUUCGUGGGGUAUAACGUAGGGAAACUUACGCUAAUACCGCAUACUACCUACGGGUGAAAGCAGGGGAUCUUCGGACCUUGCGCGAUUGAAUGAGCCGAUGUCGGAUUAGCUAGUUGGCGGGGUAAAGGCCCACCAAGGCGACGAUCCGUAGCUGGUCUGAGAGGAUGAUCAGCCACACUGGAACUGAGACACGGUCCAGACUCCUACGGGAGGCAGCAGUGGGGAAUAUUGGACAAUGGGCGCAAGCCUGAUCCAGCCAUACCGCGUGGGUGAAGAAGGCCUUCGGGUUGUAAAGCACUUUUGUUGGGAAAGAAAAGCAGAAGGUUAAUACCCCGCUGUUCUGACGGUACCCAAAGAAUAAGCACCGGCUAACUUCGUG